UACGAACUGCGUGAACGUUAUUCGGAAUCGCUGGGCUUACAGGGUGCGUAGGCGGCCAGCCAGGUCCGAUGUGAAAUCCCACGGCUCAACCGUGGAAUGGCAUUGGAAACCGGCCGGCUGGAGUGAGCUAGAGGUGCAUGGAACUUCCGGUGGAGCGGUGAAAUGUGUUGAGAUCGGAAGGAACACCAGAGGCGAAAGCGAUGCACUGGGGCUUGUCUGACGCUGAGGCACGAAAGCCAGGGGAGCGAACGGG
RNAcentral lists this ribosomal RNA (253 nucleotides) under uncultured bacterium. Its description in RNAcentral is "partial 16S ribosomal RNA". It matches the Rfam family "Bacterial small subunit ribosomal RNA", at positions 524 to 776 of the family's 1533-position model. The record is from RNAcentral.